UACGUAGGGUGCAGGCGUUAAUCGGAAUUACUGGGUGUAAAGCGUGCGCAGGCGGUUUGCUAAGAGAGAUGUGAAAUCCCCGGGCUUAACCUGGGAACUGCGUUUCUAACUGGCAGGCUUGAGUGUGGCAGAGGGGGGUGGAAUUCCACGUGUAGCAGUGAAAUGCGUAGAUAUGUGGAGGAACACCGAUGGCGAAGGCAGCCCCCUGGGCUAACACUGACGCUCAUGCACGAAAGCGUGGGGAGCAAACAGG
This 253-nucleotide ribosomal RNA is filed under the name uncultured bacterium. RNAcentral's name for it is "partial 16S ribosomal RNA". It matches the Rfam family "Bacterial small subunit ribosomal RNA", at positions 524 to 776 of the family's 1533-position model. The record is from RNAcentral.